RNAcentral lists this ribosomal RNA (902 nucleotides) under uncultured bacterium. Its description in RNAcentral is "bacterial SSU rRNA". It matches the Rfam family "Bacterial small subunit ribosomal RNA", at positions 67 to 991 of the family's 1533-position model. The record is from RNAcentral.
CGGACACGUAGCAAUACGUGUUAGUGGCGCACGGGUGAGUAAUGUAUCGCUAAUGUACCCCGGACUCUGGGAUAGCCGGCCGAAAGGUCGGGUAAUACCAGAUGAUAUAACCGAUCCGCAUGGGUUGGUUCUCAAAGGCCCGCCGGUCUGGGAGCAGGCGAUAUCGUAUCAGCUAGUUGGUGAGGUAACGGCUCACCAAGGCGACGACGCGUAGCCGGACUGAGAGGUCGGUCGGCCACAUCGGGACUGAGACACUGCCCGGACUCCUACGGGGGGCUGCAGUAACGAAUCUUCCCCAAUGCACGAAAGUGUGAGGGAGCGACGCCGCGUGGAGGAUGAAGUCCUUCGGGAUGUAAACUCCUGUCAGGGGUUACCAAGUUCUGAGGAGCCCCAGAGGAAGUGGCGGCUAACUCUGUGCCAGCAGCCGCGGUAAGACAGAGGCCACAAGCGUUAGGCGGAAUCACUGGGCUUAAAGCGUGUGUAGGUGGAUGUCUAAGUACCUUGUGAAAUCCCACGGCUCACCCGUGGAACUGCUUGGUAUACUGGACGUCUUGAGCCAUCUAGGGGCAGCUGGAACGAACGGUGGAGCGGUGAAAUGCGUAGAUAUCGUUCGGAACGCCAAUGGUGAAAACAGGCUGCUGGGGAUGUGCUGACACUGAGACACGAAAGCCAGGGGAGCAAACGGGAUUAGAUACCCCGGUAGUCCUGGCCCUAAACGAUGUCCACUAGAUCGUGGUGCCUCUGACGGCUUCACGGUCGAAGCAAAAGUGCUAAGUGGACCGCCUGGGAAGUACGGUCGCAAGGCUAAAACUCAAAGGAAUUGACGGGGGCUCACACAAGCGGUGGAGCAUGUGGUUUAAUUCGAAGCAACGCGCAGAACCUUACCUGGGCUUGACAUGCUA